CCAUAACCUACUUUUCACUCUCGGAAGCAGCCAGGUUAGCCCGUCCGUCGUAGCCAGCGGUGGGAAAGACCAGGGAAGUGCCGUGCACCGCCAUGGACAUCCCCCCGCCCACCGAGCCGAAGCAGUGGUACAUGGGCACGGGCAGACAUAUCCGAACCUUGGGCUAGGACCGCAAAGCAGAAGGACCCUUCAGAUGUAAAUUAGCCAUGAUCUUAGUUCAACUCCCCCCCCUCUCGCGGUGUGCACACGCCGCGGGCAGUUGGCUCAAGAUGGUGGCUGCAUCUUAAGCAGUGUGAUAAGAUGCAGAGUGCAGAAAAAGAUUUCAAUAAGCCACGAGGGACAUUGAACCGUCUGGUCAUCCCUGCCUACCUCCCAGUCUGUGAGCAUGAGGAGCGGCGGGUCAACACAGAAUCAAAGCUUCAGCUUGUGGAUUUGUUUGUUUGUGGGAACUAUUGGAGGGAAAUUCCUGUCCAGGGGAGUCCGCAUCCGCUUAGUUGUGUUGGACAAAACAAAUAAACAGCUAUGGGAGUUGCUA
Molecule: long non-coding RNA, 535 nt
Organism: Gadus morhua (Atlantic cod)
Lineage: Eukaryota; Metazoa; Chordata; Actinopteri; Gadiformes; Gadidae
Exons: 3
Source: RefSeq, a predicted model, not a curated record